AGAGUUUGAUCCUGGCUCAGAUUGAACGCUGGCGGCAUGCUUUACACAUGCAAGUCGAACGGGGUUAAGGGGCUUGCUCCUUAAUCUAGUGGCGAACGGGUGAGUAAUGCAUCGGAACGUACCCGGGAGUGGGGGAUAACGCACCGAAAGGUGUGCUAAUACCGCAUAUUCUGUGAGCAGGAAAGCAGGGGACCUUAGGGCCUUGUGCUUCCGGAGCGGCCGAUGUCGGAUUAGCUAGUUGGUGAGGUAAAGGCUCACCAAGGCGACGAUCCGUAGCGGGUCUGAGAGGAUGAUCCGCCCCC
This 302-nucleotide ribosomal RNA is filed under the name uncultured beta proteobacterium. RNAcentral describes it as "bacterial SSU rRNA". It matches the Rfam family "Bacterial small subunit ribosomal RNA", at positions 8 to 312 of the family's 1533-position model. The record is from RNAcentral. Lineage: Bacteria; Pseudomonadati; Pseudomonadota; Betaproteobacteria.